RNAcentral lists this ribosomal RNA (468 nucleotides) under uncultured bacterium. RNAcentral describes it as "partial 16S ribosomal RNA". It matches the Rfam family "Bacterial small subunit ribosomal RNA", at positions 28 to 507 of the family's 1533-position model. The record is from RNAcentral.
GACGAACGCUGGCGGCGUGCUUAACACAUGCAAGUCGAACGGAAAGGCCCUGCUUUUGUGGGGUGCUCGAGUGGCGAACGGGUGAGUAACACGUGAGUAACCUGCCCUUGACUUUGGGAUAACUUCAGGAAACUGGGGCUAAUACCGGAUAGGAGCUCCUGCUGCAUGGUGGGGGUUGGAAAGUUUCGGCGGUUGGGGAUGGACUGGCGGCUUAUCAGCUUGUUGGUGGGGUAGUGGCUUACCAAGGCUUUGACGGGUAGCCGGCCUGAGAGGGUGACCGGCCACAUUGGGACUGAGAUACGGCCCAGACUCCUACGGGAGGCAGAAGUGGGGAACAUUGCACAAUGGGCGGAAGCCUGAGGCAGCAACGCCGCGUGCGGGAUGACGGCCUUCGGGUGGUAAACCGCUUUCGCCGGUGACGAAGCGGGAGUGACGGUAACGAGUAAAGAAGCACCGGCUAACUACGUG